GGCAUUGUGGUUUAGUGGUUAGAACAUUUUCCUCGCACCUCCAGGGUUGGGAGUUCGAUUCCUGCCUCCAGCGCUG
Molecule: non-coding RNA, 76 nt
Organism: Pangasius djambal
Lineage: Eukaryota; Metazoa; Chordata; Actinopteri; Siluriformes; Pangasiidae
Source: the annotation of a GenBank genome assembly